RNAcentral lists this ribosomal RNA (253 nucleotides) under uncultured bacterium. Its description in RNAcentral is "partial 16S ribosomal RNA". It matches the Rfam family "Bacterial small subunit ribosomal RNA", at positions 524 to 776 of the family's 1533-position model. The record is from RNAcentral.
UACAGAGGUUGCAAGCGUUAAUCGGAAUUACUGGGCGUAAAGCGCGCGUAGGUGGCAAGUUAAGUCGGAUGUGAAAGCCCUGGGCUCAACCUAGGAAUUGCAUUCGAUACUGGCUAGCUCGAGUUUGGUAGAGGAGAGUGGAAUUCCCGGUGUAGCGGUGAAAUGCGUAGAGAUGAGGAGGAACACCAGUGGCGAAGGCGGCCACCUGGACAGUAACUGACGCUGAGGCGCGAAAGCGUGGGUAGCAAACAGG